CCAACACUCUUUUGAAAGGUCCUAAAGGAUUGGGAUGGUAGCACAUAUAUUGUGAGAGCUAAGCACGAUUGCUGAGUGGAACGGAUGACUGGAUUUUGCAUUUUCCAAUCCCCUUUCUAGCGGCAGCUUCCUAUGCAUAGACAUGGACAUGGACAUGUGACUUACUACAGUUCUCGGGGAGGGGUUCAGAGAUCGAGUCGCUGCAAAGAUGAUCCAGGAAUUCAGGAAUGGCGAAUAGGUUGCAGGCUGUUGUGCUUGGAGCCCGAGACUAGCAAUUAGGCGGUUGGAUACAACUCGUUCAGGGAGAAUCGAAAUAAUAUCGCAAUUCGAUACGGAGCCACUGAUGUUUGAACAGGGUAAAAAUGCCCUUCUCAAUGCCACGAUAGAAGGAACUCACCGAGAACAUGGGAACGGUGGAUUGUGCAUGUACUGGACAUAUACCAUGUCCGAUCUUCCCUUUUUCACACGGAUUUUCCUGUAUUUUAAUCAUAUAACGAAAGAGAG
This 504-nucleotide small RNA is filed under the name Histoplasma capsulatum var. duboisii H88. RNAcentral describes it as "Histoplasma capsulatum H88 hypothetical RNA". Lineage: Eukaryota; Fungi; Ascomycota; Eurotiomycetes; Onygenales; Ajellomycetaceae. The record is from RNAcentral.